CCAGACUCCUACGGGAGGCAGCAGUGGGGGAUAUUGCACAAUGGGGGAAACCCUGAUGCAGCGACGCCGCGUGGGUGAAGAAGCGCCUCGGCGCGUAAAGCCCUGUCAGCAGGGAAGAAAAUGACGGUACCUGAAGAAGAAGCCCCGGCUGACUACGUGCCAGCAGCCGCGGUAAUACGUAGGGGGCAAGCGUUAUCCGGAUUUACUGGGUGUAAAGGGGGCGCAGACGGCGAUGCAAGCCAGGAGUGAAAGCCCGGGGCCCAACCCCGGGACUGCUCUUGGAACUGCGUGGCUGGAGUGCAGGAGGGGCAGGCGGAAUUCCUGGUGUAGCGGUGAAAUGCGUAGAUAUACGGAGGAACACCAGUGGCGAAGGCGGAGUGCUGGACAGUAACUGACGCUGAGGCGCGAAAGCGUGGGGAGCAAACAGGGUUAGAUACCCGGGUACUA
Molecule: ribosomal RNA, 447 nt
Filed under: uncultured bacterium
Lineage: Bacteria
Description: bacterial SSU rRNA
Rfam family: Bacterial small subunit ribosomal RNA
Source: RNAcentral